This 261-nucleotide ribosomal RNA is filed under the name uncultured bacterium. RNAcentral describes it as "partial 16S ribosomal RNA". It matches the Rfam family "Bacterial small subunit ribosomal RNA", at positions 111 to 353 of the family's 1533-position model. The record is from RNAcentral.
UAACACGUAAACAACCUGCCUUCAGGAUGGGGACAACAGACGGAAACGACUGCUAAUACCGAAUAAGUUCCAAGAGCCGCAUGGCCCAUGGAAGAAAAGGUGGCCUCUACCUGUAAGCUAUCGCCUGAAGAGGGGUUUGCGUCUGAUUAGCUGGUUGGAGGGGUAACGGCCCACCAAGGCGACGAUCAGUAGCCGGUCUGAGAGGAUGACCAGCCACACUGGAACUGAGACACGGUCCAGACUCCUACGGGAGGCAGCAUG